UGGUUCUCGCAUCGAUGAAGAACGCAGCGAAAUGCGAUAAGUAAUGUGAAUUGCAGAAUUCAGUGAAUCAUCGAAUCUUUGAACGCACAUUGCGCCCCUUGGUAUUCCGAGGGGCAUGCCUGUUCGAGCGUCAUUACACCACUCAAGCUAUGCUUGGUAUUGGGCGUCGUCCUUAGUUGGGCGCGCCUUAAAGACCUCGGCGAGGCCACUCCGGCUUUAGGCGUAGUAGAAUUUAUUCGAACGUCUGUCAAAGGAGAGGAACUCCGCCGACUGAAACCUUUAUUUUUCUAGGUUGACCUCGGAUCAGGUAGGGAUACCCGCUGA
RNAcentral lists this unclassified non-coding RNA (324 nucleotides) under uncultured fungus. RNAcentral's name for it is "partial contains 5.8S ribosomal RNA and internal transcribed spacer 2". The stretch from base 1 to 133 matches the Rfam family "5.8S ribosomal RNA", at positions 22 to 154 of the family's 154-position model. Lineage: Eukaryota; Fungi. The record is from RNAcentral.